GAAUGGAAGGGCCAUCGCUCAACGGAUAAAAGGUACUCCGGGGAUAACAGGCUGAUACCGCCCAAGAGUUCAUAUCGACGGCGGUGUUUGGCACCUCGAUGUCGGCUCAUCACAUCCUGGGGCUGAAGUAGGUCCCAAGGGUAUGGCUGUUCGCCAUUUAAAGUGGUACGCGAGCUGGGUUUAGAACGUCGUGAGACAGUUCGGUCCCUAUCUGCCGUGGGCGCUGGAGAAUUGAGGGGGGCUGCUCCUAGUACGAGAGGACCGGAGUGGACGCAUCACUGGUGUUCGGGUUGUCAUGCCAAUGGCACUGCCCGGUAGCUAAAUGCGGAAGAGAUAAGUGCUGAAAGCAUCUAAGCACGAAACUUGCCCCGAGAU
This 375-nucleotide ribosomal RNA is filed under the name Klebsiella pneumoniae subsp. pneumoniae. RNAcentral's name for it is "partial 23S ribosomal RNA". It matches the Rfam family "Bacterial large subunit ribosomal RNA", at positions 2431 to 2805 of the family's 2925-position model. Lineage: Bacteria; Pseudomonadati; Pseudomonadota; Gammaproteobacteria; Enterobacterales; Enterobacteriaceae. The record is from RNAcentral.